RNAcentral lists this ribosomal RNA (2919 nucleotides) under Salmonella enterica subsp. enterica serovar Enteritidis str. P125109. RNAcentral's name for it is "bacterial LSU rRNA". It matches the Rfam family "Bacterial large subunit ribosomal RNA". Lineage: Bacteria; Pseudomonadati; Pseudomonadota; Gammaproteobacteria; Enterobacterales; Enterobacteriaceae. The record is from RNAcentral.
GGUUAAGCGACUAAGCGUACACGGUGGAUGCCCUGGCAGUCAGAGGCGAUGAAGGGCGUGCUAAUCUGCGAUAAGCGCCGGUAAGGUGAUAUGAACCGUUAUAACCGGCGAUACCCGAAUGGGGAAACCCAGUGUGACUCGUCACACUAUCAUUAACUGAAUCCAUAGGUUAAUGAGGCGAACCGGGGGAACUGAAACAUCUAAGUACCCCGAGGAAAAGAAAUCAACCGAGAUUCCCCCAGUAGCGGCGAGCGAACGGGGAGGAGCCCAGAGCCUGAAUCAGCAUGUGUGUUAGUGGAAGCGUCUGGAAAGGCGCGCGAUACAGGGUGACAGCCCCGUACACAAAAGCGCAUGUGCUGUGAGCUCGAUGAGUAGGGCGGGACACGUGGUAUCCUGUCUGAAUAUGGGGGGACCAUCCUCCAAGGCUAAAUACUCCUGACUGACCGAUAGUGAACCAGUACCGUGAGGGAAAGGCGAAAAGAACCCCGGCGAGGGGAGUGAAAAAGAACCUGAAACCGUGUACGUACAAGCAGUGGGAGCACAGGUUUACCUGUGUGACUGCGUACCUUUUGUAUAAUGGGUCAGCGACUUAUAUUCUGUAGCAAGGUUAACCGAAUAGGGGAGCCGGAGGGAAACCGAGUCUUAAUUGGGCGUUAAGUUGCAGGGUAUAGACCCGAAACCCGGUGAUCUAGCCAUGGGCAGGUUGAAGGUUGGGUAACACUAACUGGAGGACCGAACCGACUAAUGUUGAAAAAUUAGCGGAUGACCUGUGGCUGGGGGUGAAAGGCCAAUCAAACCGGGAGAUAGCUGGUUCUCCCCGAAAGCUAUUUAGGUAGCGCCUCGUGAAUUCAUCUCCGGGGGUAGAGCACUGUUUCGGCUAGGGGGCCAUCCCGGCUUACCAACCCGAUGCAAACUGCGAAUACCGGAGAAUGUUAUCACGGGAGACACACGGCGGGUGCUAACGUCCGUCGUGAAGAGGGAAACAACCCAGACCGCCAGCUAAGGUCCCAAAGUCAUGGUUAAGUGGGAAACGAUGUGGGAAGGCCCAGACAGCCAGGAUGUUGGCUUAGAAGCAGCCAUCAUUUAAAGAAAGCGUAAUAGCUCACUGGUCGAGUCGGCCUGCGCGGAAGAUGUAACGGGGCUAAACCAUGCACCGAAGCUGCGGCAGCGACACUGUGUGUUGUUGGGUAGGGGAGCGUUCUGUAAGCCUGCGAAGGUGGCCUGUGAGGGUUGCUGGAGGUAUCAGAAGUGCGAAUGCUGACAUAAGUAACGAUAAAGCGGGUGAAAAGCCCGCUCGCCGGAAGACCAAGGGUUCCUGUCCAACGUUAAUCGGGGCAGGGUGAGUCGACCCCUAAGGCGAGGCCGAAAGGCGUAGUCGAUGGGAAACGGGUUAAUAUUCCCGUACUUGGUGUUACUGCGAAGGGGGGACGGAGAAGGCUAUGUUGGCCGGGCGACGGUUGUCCCGGUUUAAGCGUGUAGGUGUGUGUUCCAGGUAAAUCCGGUUCACUUUAACACUGAGGCGUGACGACGAGGCACUACGGUGCUGAAGCAACAAAUGCCCUGCUUCCAGGAAAAGCCUCUAAGCAUCAGGUAACAUCAAAUCGUACCCCAAACCGACACAGGUGGUCAGGUAGAGAAUACCAAGGCGCUUGAGAGAACUCGGGUGAAGGAACUAGGCAAAAUGGUGCCGUAACUUCGGGAGAAGGCACGCUGACACGUAGGUGAAGUGAUUUACUCAUGGAGCUGAAGUCAGUCGAAGAUACCAGCUGGCUGCAACUGUUUAUUAAAAACACAGCACUGUGCAAACACGAAAGUGGACGUAUACGGUGUGACGCCUGCCCGGUGCCGGAAGGUUAAUUGAUGGGGUCAGCGCAAGCGAAGCUCCUGAUCGAAGCCCCGGUAAACGGCGGCCGUAACUAUAACGGUCCUAAGGUAGCGAAAUUCCUUGUCGGGUAAGUUCCGACCUGCACGAAUGGCGUAAUGAUGGCCAGGCUGUCUCCACCCGAGACUCAGUGAAAUUGAACUCGCUGUGAAGAUGCAGUGUACCCGCGGCAAGACGGAAAGACCCCGUGAACCUUUACUAUAGCUUGACACUGAACAUUGAGCCUUGAUGUGUAGGAUAGGUGGGAGGCUUUGAAGUGUGGACGCCAGUCUGCAUGGAGCCGACCUUGAAAUACCACCCUUUAAUGUUUGAUGUUCUAACGUGGACCCGUUACCCGGGUUGCGGACAGUGUCUGGUGGGUAGUUUGACUGGGGCGGUCUCCUCCUAAAGAGUAACGGAGGAGCACGAAGGUUGGCUAAUCCUGGUCGGACAUCAGGAGGUUAGUGCAAUGGCAUAAGCCAGCUUGACUGCGAGCGUGACGGCGCGAGCAGGUGCGAAAGCAGGUCAUAGUGAUCCGGUGGUUCUGAAUGGAAGGGCCAUCGCUCAACGGAUAAAAGGUACUCCGGGGAUAACAGGCUGAUACCGCCCAAGAGUUCAUAUCGACGGCGGUGUUUGGCACCUCGAUGUCGGCUCAUCACAUCCUGGGGCUGAAGUAGGUCCCAAGGGUAUGGCUGUUCGCCAUUUAAAGUGGUACGCGAGCUGGGUUUAGAACGUCGUGAGACAGUUCGGUCCCUAUCUGCCGUGGGCGCUGGAGAACUGAGGGGGGCUGCUCCUAGUACGAGAGGACCGGAGUGGACGCAUCACUGGUGUUCGGGUUGUCAUGCCAAUGGCACUGCCCGGUAGCUAAAUGCGGAAGAGAUAAGUGCUGAAAGCAUCUAAGCACGAAACUUGCCCCGAGAUGAGUUCUCCCUGAGACUUAAAGUCUCCUGAAGGAACGUUGAAGACGACGACGUUGAUAGGCCGGGUGUGUAAGCGCAGCGAUGCGUUGAGCUAACCGGUACUAAUGAACCGUGAGGCUUAACCUUACAACGCCGAAG